AAGAACCGAUUUAAAAUUCAUGCAACCCAGAUGAGCUGACGAGACCAGCACCGCCAGAGGCGCUAGUGUAUUUUACUCAUAUUAUGGUAAAUUUAUUUGAAAGUGUUUGCUGUGAGUUUUGACAGAUUCCUAUAACAUCAAUCCUCAAUGACCCUCUCAGUGUCACCCUCGAUGGAUGGAGCUCGGGCGUAAUAAUAAUCUUCUCCAAUCUAAAUAAUCUUCUCUCGCCCAUCGUGAAGUCCUCCAAGAAAUCCUUCGGGUUAAACGCUAAUUCCACCAGGGAUUGAGAUCAACGGAGAAAACCUGUCCGACCAGGAGAAUGCUUACGAGAUGACGAGAGAAACAUAACAUUCGUGUCGGCUUUUGGGUAAGGAGAAACUGUAGUACCGUAAAAGGGUCCCCAGAAUGAAGAGCGCAGCAGCGAGUUUUAACAGUAAGACAAAACCUGCCGCUGCCGCUGCGCUAACCAUGCUGGAUGGACCGGAACCUCACCGAAGUUGCAACAGCUUAGAACGCCGAUAUCCGAGGAGCACCAAAGAUGUUUGCCGAUCGCAAAACUAUGGGCAGCCCGCAAGCUGUCGUGUCGUUCGGGAGUAAAAUCUGCAAUGCCGGAUGCCUGAAAUUAAUCAACGAACAAUCCACGUCUACGUUGGCUGGGUCUUACGUACACAGCAAGGAGGAUGUAGAGGAUCAAAUAGAAGAAUAAAAAACCCUUGAAGUCGUCAGUCGUGCGAGUUAUUAUUCAUCGAAACUUACACAGGACUUCACAAGACGCCUCUGGAAAAAGGAGCAUCACAAGGAAUGUUCGUUGGAUGCUUUGCCGAUACGGCCACGGUUAGGAUUCGCUUCGCCUGUUAAGGAAAGGAGAUCUCCCACGUAUUUCUGAUGGAACCCUAGACCAAGCUGUUCUCUGCUAACCUUUUUGAAGCCACAAGCAAACCUCCUAAUGGGACUAGGUCGUACUCCAAGUUACUUAGCCGUUUGUCAGCUGCAGUUCUUCCAACGAGGUUGACGGUUGAGAUGAAUCUUGUACACAACCGUGAUCCGAUGGGCGUCUCCAUUAAAAAUAUGUUCUUGCCGUUGGUCAAGCUUAUUGACAGACUAUCGAACGCUAUCUACAUUUCUUGCGCUUCUGUGUUUGGGUCAACGAUGAAAGCGUUGAGGAGAACGCCAAUCUUGUCAUUCGUCUGUUGAUCCGACGUACGGAAUGCUUGGGUCCUGCGCUUCGUGGUGAAGGUUUGAUGAAGGCUAUCAACGAAGCCAACAAGAUGUCAGAAAAGAUUUCAAGGCGUAGGAAGAAGCAGGAUGAGGCAGAAGAUACGAUCACUGGUCUAGGCUUCUCGCAUCCUCUUUCAGAGAGAUAGACGACGACAAAGAUUACAUGGAUACCAGAGCUGUCGUUCUGUGCUUCUAUUGAACACUGGUGGAUACGUUGUGCACCGGAUGCAUCGGUGAUCAAACAAGGCAAAAACGAAUCAUUGCGAGCUCUGCCAUUCUACGCUCCUUGGUACCGCCGGAAGAUUUUUGAGUAGUUCUGGUUUUGAUAACAUUGACUAACACGUCGAAGGAAGGCCAAAGUCCGACAAAGUCCGCGGUUCCAAAUGGCUCCAGUGAAGUCGGUGGACCCCUUCCAAACAAUUCAAAGUACAAUGACGUCGGCGUGCGUACAGCCGCUUUCAAUGAUUCCUGCGAUCGACGCUUCUGGACGGACCCGAAGGGUGAAUUCGAGAGCAAUGUUGUAAAUACAGGGCCCUAACUGAUGGGUAAAAACGCAGCCGGUGCGACCAGACUUCCAUAGCGAUGCUCACUUCCAUAGCAAUCUCCAGUUCACAUUAAUCUACCAACGUUUCCAACACUGCCGUAAUAAUAAAUUACCUUAAUUAUUACGAAUAAAUAUUUUAGGAUCACUUCAAAACGAACUUUUGAUAGGAAGUCCGGAAAUCCAUUAUACAUCAAUCGACUCAGCUCGAAAAAUUAAUUGAUUGGUGUAUUGCCUAGUUGAUUGCUAAGUUGCUUGAUUGCUUUAUUAGUUGGUUGGUUGCUUGAUUGAUUCGUAGCUUGCUUGAAUGGUAUGGUAUGAAUGGUGGGUUGCUUGAUUCGUUGACUGGUUUGUUGAUUGCUUGCUUGAUUCGUUAGUUGGUUGAAUGAUUGAUUAGUAGGUUGGUUGCUUGAUUGGUUGGUCGGUAGAUUGGUGGGUUGGUCGAUUGGUUGGUUGAUUGGUAGCUUGCUUGACUGGUUGGUGGUUGGUUGCUUGAUUGGUUAGUUGGUUGAAUGGUUGAUUGGUUGGCUGCUUGAUUGGUUGAUUGUUUGUUUAAUUGGAUGGUUAUUUGGUUGAUUGGUUGAUCGGCUGGUUAGUUGAUUAGUUGUUUUGUUGGUUGCUUGAAUGGUUGAUUAAUUAGAUUAAUUGGUGAAAUGGUUA
Armigeres subalbatus is the source of this 2419-nucleotide long non-coding RNA. RefSeq lists it as uncharacterized. The transcript has 3 exons. The record is from RefSeq and is a predicted model, not a curated record. NCBI's taxonomy places the organism in Eukaryota, Metazoa, Arthropoda, Insecta, Diptera, Culicidae.